RNAcentral lists this unclassified non-coding RNA (212 nucleotides) under Hevea brasiliensis (rubber tree). Lineage: Eukaryota; Viridiplantae; Streptophyta; Magnoliopsida; Malpighiales; Euphorbiaceae. The record is from RNAcentral.
ACAACUCGUUAUAUGAUAGAUCAACGGAUCGCAAUUAAGGCAGUUGCUAACGUUGCUGGAAUUAUACCAUUGAGCUUGUUGUGAGAGAGAUUCAAUAUCUCCAAGGUUCGCAAACUUGAAAAUUUUGCCGGUAUCUCUCCAGUGAGCAUGUUGUGACUAAGAUCGAGCUGGGACAAGCCAUGCAGUUCUGGAAUGGAACCAGUGAGGUGAUU